Molecule: RNA transcript, 1950 nt
Organism: Callithrix jacchus (white-tufted-ear marmoset)
Lineage: Eukaryota; Metazoa; Chordata; Mammalia; Primates; Cebidae
Gene: UCHL5
Gene name: ubiquitin C-terminal hydrolase L5
Source: RefSeq, a predicted model, not a curated record
AUGUCUCUAGGGUGGCUAGAGCGUCCUCCCGCGCUGCGCCGCGCUGCAGGUGACGGCGCCCGGAGGCUGUCGGGAAGUAGGCGGGGUGACGUGGGGUUGACGAGCUCGGCGGCGGGUUUGCUGAGCUCUGUGGCCGGCGGCAGCUGGUGCGGGGGGCGGCCGAGAGCGAGAGGUGGAUCGGGGCGGUGUGUGGCCGGGGCCAUGACGGGCAAUGCCGGGGAGUGGUGCCUCAUGGAAAGCGACCCCGGGGUCUUCACCGAGCUCAUUAAAGGAUUCGGUUGCCGAGGAGCUCAGGUUGAAGAAAUAUGGAGUUUAGAGCCUGAGAAUUUUGAAAAAUUAAAGCCAGUUCAUGGGUUAAUUUUUCUUUUCAAGUGGCAGCCAGGAGAAGAACCAGCAGGCUCUGUGGUUCAGGACUCCCGACUUGACACAAUAUUUUUUGCUAAGCAGGUAAUUAAUAAUGCUUGUGCUACUCAAGCCAUAGUGAGUGUGUUACUGAACUGUACCCACCAGGAUGUCCAUUUAGGAGAGACAUUAUCAGAGUUUAAAGAAUUUUCACAAAGUUUUGAUGCAGCUAUGAAAGGCUUGGCACUGAGCAAUUCAGAUGUGAUUCGACAAGUACAUAACAGUUUCGCCAGACAGCAAAUGUUUGAAUUUGAUACGAAGACCUCAGCAAAAGAAGAAGAUGCUUUUCAUUUUGUCAGUUAUGUUCCUGUUAAUGGAAGACUGUAUGAAUUAGAUGGAUUAAGAGAAGGACCGAUUGAUUUAGGUGCAUGUAAUCAAGAUGAUUGGAUCAGUGCAGUAAGGCCUGUCAUAGAGAAAAGGAUACAAAAGUACAGUGAAGGGGAAAUUCGAUUUAAUUUAAUGGCCAUUGUGUCCGACAGAAAAAUGAUAUAUGAACAGAAGAUAGCAGAGUUACAAAGACAACUUGCAGAGGAGGAACCCAUGGAUACAGAUCAGGGUAAUAGUAUGUUAAGUGCUAUUCAGUCAGAAGUUGCCAAAAAUCAGAUGCUUAUUGAAGAAGAAGUACAGAAGUUAAAAAGAUACAAGAUUGAGAAUAUCAGAAGGAAGCAUAAUUAUCUGCCUUUCAUUAUGGAAUUGUUAAAGACUUUAGCAGAACACCAGCAGUUAAUACCACUGGUAGAAAAGAUAUUCUGAUAUAGGGGAAGGAUUCUUUAAUAAGUUCCCCAAGUGAUUCUAAUGCAACUGGUCUGUGUACCACAUUUUGAGAAACACUUUGAGAAGACACUACUAGGCAAAUAAAAUUUUGGACCAUUAACUUAAAGACAAGAAUACAUGGCAAAAGAAAAACAGAAUGCAAAGAAAGCUCAGGAAACCAAAUGAAGAGGAUGUUUUGGGAUAUGUACACAUUUCUGCUUCUGCACUUAUUUUCAUGGAAAUCAUUAUAUGUAAAGAACUUUGAGCAACACCCUAAUUGGCUCAGUGCACGUUUGGUAAUAGUGCCUGUCUGUCUUGUCUUUAAUGCAUGAAUUCGUAAAUUUCUUCCCUCCCUGCAUCAUGUGCAUGUAGAGCAUAGUCAAUGAAAGUGAUGUUAAGAGUGCUUGCCCAAAUUCCAUUAUUUGACAUUGAAUCUGAGAACUGUUUGUUUUCUGUUUUCUGGAUGUAUAACUACCUUAAUGAAGCUAGAAAAUGCACAAAUGAUAAUCCUUAUCUGUAAUUUAAAUACUUAAAAUUUGUAAUUGUCAGAUCUUGAUUAAACUGGAUCUCUUAUUUCUUCUCAUCAUUAAUGGAAAAAAAUCAGUAUUUCUAUCUUUGAUAUCUAAGUGUUUUGAGGAUUUUAAAACUCAAUUUUAUGUGCUAUAUCAGUUAUUUGAAAAAGUAUGAUUUUAAUGUAAAUCAUUUAAAAAGGACAAAGUAUAAUUAAUUUCCAGUGAUUUUUUUCAUUACUGUCAGUAGAAAAGUAAUAAACAUCUCAAUUUUAUUUUAGUAAAA